GCCCGCCUAGCUCAAUCGGCCAGAGCGUCAGACUUUUACGAGAGGUGUAAUAAUCUGAAGGCUGCGAGUUCGACCCUCGCGGUGGGCU
This is a non-coding RNA of Sphagnurus paluster, 88 nucleotides long. The record is from the annotation of a GenBank genome assembly. Lineage: Eukaryota; Fungi; Basidiomycota; Agaricomycetes; Agaricales; Lyophyllaceae.